This 253-nucleotide ribosomal RNA is filed under the name uncultured prokaryote. RNAcentral describes it as "partial 16S ribosomal RNA". It matches the Rfam family "Bacterial small subunit ribosomal RNA", at positions 524 to 776 of the family's 1533-position model. The record is from RNAcentral.
UACGGGGGGGGCAAGCGUUGUUCGGAAUUACUGGGCGUAAAGGGUUUGUAGGUGGUCUGCUAAGUCAGACGUGAAAUCCCUCAGCUUAACCGGGGAACUGCGUCUGAUACUGGAUGGCUUGAGAUUGGGAGAGGGAUGCGGAAUUCCAGGUGUAGCGGUGAAAUGCGUAGAUAUCUGGAGGAACACCGGUGGCGAAGGCGGCAUCCUGGACCAACACUGACGCUGAGGAGCGAAAGCGUGGGGAGCAAACAGG